RNAcentral lists this ribosomal RNA (488 nucleotides) under uncultured bacterium. RNAcentral's name for it is "partial 16S ribosomal RNA". It matches the Rfam family "Bacterial small subunit ribosomal RNA", at positions 28 to 507 of the family's 1533-position model. The record is from RNAcentral.
GACGAACGCUGGCGGCGUGCUUAACACAUGCAAGUCGAACGCGCCUGUCCUCUGGGUUUCUGGGGGGUGGGUGAGUGGCGAACGGGUGAGUAACACGUGAGUAACCUGCCCCCUUCUUCGGGAUAACGGUCUGAAAGGGCUGCUAAUACCGGGUAUUCACUGGUCUCCGCAUGGGGUCUGGUGUAAAGGUUUUUUUCUGGUGGGGGAUGGGCUCGCGGCCUAUCAGCUUGUUGGUGGGGUGAUGGCCCACCAAGGCUUUGACGGGUAGCCGGCCUGAGAGGGUGACCGGUCACAUUGGGACGGAGAUACGGCCCAGACUCGUACGGGAGGGAGCAGUGGGGAAUAUUGCACAAUGGGCGCAAGCCUGAUGCAGCGACGCCGCGUGAGGGAUGGAGGCCUUCGGGUUGUGAACCUCUUUCGCCCGUGGUCAAGCCGCGACGUGGGUCGUGGUGAGGGUAGUGGGUAAAGAAGCGCCGGCUAACUACGUG